This is a long non-coding RNA of Homo sapiens (human), 265 nucleotides long. Ensembl annotates it as WDR5B divergent transcript. Its record names the gene WDR5B-DT. Lineage: Eukaryota; Metazoa; Chordata; Mammalia; Primates; Hominidae. The record is from Ensembl.
UCCGGUCUUUUUCGCCCCGCCCUUCAAAUGCGAAAGCGACUGCCUUCUUGGAAUAAAAUACUUGGUCAGUGGAAUCUCUUCAACAAAAUAGAAGAGAAGCAGUCAUGGAGUGAAGAAAUAAAUCAUCUUUGUUUCUACUCAUCUGUCACUUAUGCAAUACAUACAAUAUGUAAAAAGGAAAAAUCCCUGUGUAAUAGCCUAAGGCAACCAGCAGCUUCCACGUCGGUUGGAUAUUAAUAAAUUUUUUUCUUUACUGUAAAAUAUA